UACGGAGGGAGCUAGCGUUGUUCGGAAUUACUGGGCGUAAAGCGCGCGUAGGCGGCUUUGUAAGUUAGAGGUGAAAGCCCGGAGCUCAACUCCGGAACUGCCUUUAAAACUGCAUCGCUUGAAUCCAGGAGAGGUGAGUGGAAUUCCGAGUGUAGAGGUGAAAUUCGUAGAUAUUCGGAAGAAACACCAGUGGCGAAGGCGGCUCACUGGACUGGUAUUGACGCUGAGGUGCGAAAAGCGUGGGGAGCAAACAGGG
RNAcentral lists this ribosomal RNA (256 nucleotides) under uncultured bacterium. RNAcentral describes it as "partial 16S ribosomal RNA". It matches the Rfam family "Bacterial small subunit ribosomal RNA", at positions 524 to 777 of the family's 1533-position model. The record is from RNAcentral.